Molecule: long non-coding RNA, 226 nt
Filed under: Lathyrus oleraceus (garden pea)
Lineage: Eukaryota; Viridiplantae; Streptophyta; Magnoliopsida; Fabales; Fabaceae
Description: Pisum sativum (pea) long non-coding RNA (PSAT_LNC003760)
Source: RNAcentral
AUAAAUAUAAAUUAAUAAAUUUAAAAUAAGUUAAAAAAGAUUUAAAAAAAUUAAAAAAAUAAUUAAAAACAUAUUAAAAAAAAUUAUAAAAAAAAAGCAAAAAAAAUAAUUUAAAAUAAGGUGUAGGCGCCACUCCUAGUGGCGACUUGCCCUCCACUUAAGGGUAGGCGCCACCUAGGGUGGCGCCCAUGUGUUAGUUAGGGCACAAAAGUGCCCAUUUUUAUAA